RNAcentral lists this ribosomal RNA (254 nucleotides) under uncultured bacterium. RNAcentral describes it as "partial 16S ribosomal RNA". It matches the Rfam family "Bacterial small subunit ribosomal RNA", at positions 524 to 776 of the family's 1533-position model. The record is from RNAcentral.
UACGUAGGGUGCAAGCGUUAUCCGGAAUUAUUGGGCGUAAAGAGCUCGUAGGCGGUGUGUCGCGUCGGCCGUGAAAACCUGCAGCUUAACUGUGGGCUUGCGGUCGAUACGGGCAUCACUGGAGUUCGGCAGGGGAGACUGGAAUUCCUGGUGUAGCGGUGAAAUGCGCAGAUAUCAGGAGGAACACCGGUGGCGAAGGCGGGUCUCUGGGCCGAUACUGACGCUGAGGAGCGAAAGCGUGGGGAGCGAACAGG